RNAcentral lists this ribosomal RNA (609 nucleotides) under uncultured bacterium. Its description in RNAcentral is "bacterial SSU rRNA". It matches the Rfam family "Bacterial small subunit ribosomal RNA", at positions 9 to 610 of the family's 1533-position model. The record is from RNAcentral.
GAGUUUGAUCAUGGCUCAGAACGAACGCUGGCGGCGUGCUUAACACAUGCAAGUCGAACGCGAAAGUCCCUUCGGGGGCGAGUAAAGUGGCGCACAGGUGAGUAAUAAAUAGGAACGUACCGAAGGGUGGGGAAUAACCACGGGAAACCGUGGCUAAUACCGCAUAACGUCGCAAGACCAAAGGGGGCCUCUACUUGUAAGCUCUCGCCAUUCGAUCGGCCUAUUUCCCAUUAGCUUGUUGGCAGGGUAACGGCCUACCAAGGCAACGAUGGGUAGCUGGUCUAAGAGGAUGAUCAGCCACACUGGAACUGAGACACGGUCCAGACUCCUACGGGAGGCAGCAGUGGGGAAUCUUGCACAAUGGGCGAAAGCCUGAUGCAGCAACGCCGCGUGAGUGAAGAAGGUCCUUGGAUCGUAAAGCUCUUUCGGCUGGGAAGAGGGGAGGUUGGAUUAACACCCCAACCUCUUGACGGUACCAGAAGAAGAAGCACUGGCUAAUUCCGUGCCAGCAGCCGCGGUAAUACGGAAGGUGCAAGCGUUGUUCGGAUUGACUGGGCGUAAAGAGCACGUAGGCGGGCUUGUAUGUCGAGUGUGAAAGCCCCCGGGCUU